Molecule: ribosomal RNA, 440 nt
Filed under: uncultured bacterium
Lineage: Bacteria
Description: partial 16S ribosomal RNA
Rfam family: Bacterial small subunit ribosomal RNA
Source: RNAcentral
CCUACGUGAGGCAGCAGUAGGGAAUAUUGCUCAAUGUGGGAAACCCUGCAGCCGCAACGCCGCGUGGAGGCUGACUGUUUUCGGAUUGUACACUCCUUUUGUUAGAGAAGAUAAUGACGGUAUCUCACGAAUAAGCCCCGGCUAACUCCGUUCCAGCAGCCGCGGUAAUACGGAGGGUGCAAGCGUUACUCGGAAUCACUGGGCGGAAAGAGCGCGUAGGCGGGAUAGCAAGUCAGAUGUGAAAUCCUAUGGUUUAACCAUAGAACUGCAUUUGAAACUGUUAUUCUAGAGGAUGGGAGAGGUAGGUGGAAGUCUUGGUGGAGGGGGAAAAUCCGUAGAGAGCAAGAGGAAUACUCAGUGCGAAGGCGACCUGCUAGAACAUAACUGACGCUGAUGCGCGAAAGCGUGGGGAGCAAACAGGAUUAGAUACCCGGGUAGUC